UACGUAGGUGGCGAGCGUUGUCCGGAAUUACUGGGUGUAAAGGGCGUGCAGGCGGGGAGGCAAGUCAGAUGUGAAAUCCCGUGGCUCAACUGCGGGGCUGCAUCUGAAACUGCAUUUCUUGAGUGCUGGAGAGGGAAGCGGAAUUCCUAGUGUAGCGGUGAAAUGCGUAGAUAUUAGGAGGAACACCAGUGGCGAAGGCGGCUUUCUGGACAGUAACUGACGCUGAGGCGCGAAAGCGUGGGGAG
RNAcentral lists this ribosomal RNA (245 nucleotides) under uncultured bacterium. RNAcentral's name for it is "partial 16S ribosomal RNA". It matches the Rfam family "Bacterial small subunit ribosomal RNA", at positions 524 to 768 of the family's 1533-position model. The record is from RNAcentral.